ACGGAGAACUAAGUAGAAAAUGUAAAGCUAAAAGCAGAUUUCUGAAGAAAUUUAUUUUUUAUUAUGACAGAUAACUCAAUAAACUGUUUACAACAUUGUCAUUUAACUUCAAAUAUAUAUAAAAUCUAAAUGGAGGCGACUACCGACACCAGCUUGAGUCAUGUCCUAGACAGAACAUGGUUAUGUCUCUGGUUCCUUUUAGGAUUUCACGUGUGCUGAGACGGAAUGUCUGGCGUGCUCUGGUGUCACUGGAGUCUGUCUGGCCGGACGCAGAGCUUUGUGCACAGCACCAUCUCUGGGUGAAGGAAGCAGAAGUCCUCAGUGGCCCCAGCUGCGCUGCCAGCUUUGUGUCAGACACCAAAUGUAAGCUUAAACCCACUGCUGCAGACAUGAAGACAGAGAGAAGAUGCACCCAAACGCUGGCAGCGACUGGGCAGGUAAUAGAUCUGCUCCAAAAAGACGAGCAAAACAUCCUGAAAAUGCAGGACGAAACCAGAUAUGUUGAUUUCGAGUCCGAGGACGAGAAGGUCUGUCGCUUUGGUCAGAGGAACCAAGUGUCUGUCAUUGCUAAAAACGGUGGAUUGGAAGCUGUUUGCGCGUCGGAGCCAAACUCUGACCUGAAGGAGAUGCACACCAAGGAGGGAGGAGAAAGCACCAGAGGUGAGAAAUGCAUGAAAGUUGUGAGAAAUCUCCCCUCUCCAUCAUCCUCACCUUGCCUGAAAAAAACUGAGACUAGCCUACAAAUAGGAGAGAAAAGUGGUGAGAGUGCAUUUACGCACACAAACGUGUCCAAAGGCAUGGGCAGCAAGGCAGAGCGAGAGGAGGAAUCCCAUAGCACCAACAGCUAUCUGAGUGGGAGAAGUGAGUGUGAGGACUGUGAGGAGGUGGAUAAUGUCAGCCUGGUGCUCUCUGAUGAAUCCGCUCUAUCCUUAACCGAGGAUCAUUACAUUACCACACAUGAGAUUCAGCUCUCGGAGUUCUCUGACCAUGAAGGGGACUACGACCUGGGUGUGGGCUCCUCCACUAGCUGGGACAUUGAAGAUGAGAGCCAGAUGUACCCAUUUGUAGGCUACUCCUUUGCGGGUGAGAGGGGGGCUUGUGGGGCGCCCUGCACCAAGGGCGCCGCGGCAGUAGCAGCAGCGGUCAGCACUCUGCUUGAAAGUGAUCUGAGCGAUGCGGCCAAGUUCUGCGGCUCAGAUGAUCCCGAACAGAAGCAGGGUGAAGGACAGAUCCACCUGUCAAUCAGAACCACAUCCCGAGCUAUAAAUACCCCUGGCAGCAUCCAAGAGGAGGAAAAUAUCCUUUAUCAUGCUAGGCGCUCCGGAGACAUGAGCCGCUAUGUUUUCAGGGGAGUGGAUGGGAAGGCAGAGACCUUGUGUGACAGGGCGAAGUGUUUCAUAGCCGCACCCGGACGCCCGCACGUUGGCGGCAGAUUGAGGGGGAAAGAGGUCACAGAGUAUUCCAGCGGCACGUCCAGCGCUGUCAGCGAGCUGGACGAUGCUGACAAGGAGGUGCGCAACCUCACAGCCAAAGCCUUCAAGAGCUUGGCCUACCCUUACUUUGAAGCCAUCAAUUUCAGCACCUCCAGUGAGUCCUCUGCAUCAGAGCAUGGCCGGAGGAAAAACACGUGGUCCACAUUUCUGGAUCUGAAAUAUGGCAAUGUGAACAUGUCUCAGGGGCUGGACCAAAGUGUGAUUUCCUGUCAAAACCCUGCGGCCUCAUAUGAAAUAGGCAAAAACAGCGACAACAGAGGUUAUAAGGGCACCAGUCAGCCCACAAGUAAGAUCUUUGCUCUGAAAGCCAACCCCCGCAGCGCCUCGUCAUCAAAGCAGAUCCAGCUGAUGGGAAAGUUUGGGCAGGGCCACAGCGGAGUGAUCAGACUCACAGAGACUCUGAAUUUUCAUUGCAAUGUCAAAUCGGGAAUGUCUGGGGAAGAAAGGCGCACUAACUUUGCGCAAAACGCAGCGGGAUCACGUUCCACGGAUGAUAUUACCAAGAGCCUGCAGAGCAGCCAGCAGAGAGGGGCCGGCAAGCUGCCCUCUAAAAUCAUGGAAGACACGCAUAAGAAAGCCAUAUUCGCCUCCAGUUUGUUAAAAAAUGUUCUUUCUAAGAAGAUGCAGUUUGAGCAGGAGCGCAGGAUGGAGAGGGGUGAGAUCAGCGAGCCACACCAGGCGCCGUCCCCGGGCUUUGUGCUGCAGGAGAGCAACAAUAAGUGGAAGGGGAACAGGGAGCUGGAGAGGCAGAGCUCCAAGUUCUCUGAGAGCGGCUGCGACUAUGCCAUAAUGUGCGUGGAUGAAUUAGGGGACUUUGUGGACAGUGGCUCAUGUGAUAGUAAGAGGCAAGACGCGUGUGCUCCCACAACAGACACUAAUUUAAACUCGGCCAAUGAAGCUGGGAUUGAUACUAAAAAAGGCGCAUUGCAUCGCAGCCAAAAUAGCGCGUUCAGAUGCUGGAAGGACGAGGAGCUAGAGUUUCAAAAGGAUCAUAAAAACCAUCAAACUCUGCUGGACAAGCUGCCUCCAGCUGAUGACAAAGAAAGUGAGUGGGAUCCGUUCUCUGCAGGCUGCGGUAAACUGACUAAAAUGUCUCAUUUGUUUGUGCCAAGUAUCCAACUGCUACCCAGUGACAGAGAGGUGCGCCCGCAGCUGCAGAGAGGAGCUUAUUCCUGGAAUGGAAGCAAUACUUUAUACAUCACGGACUCCAGGAGCUCAAAAUCAUCCAAAUCACCGGAAAUUAAAAUCAACCUAAGAAGCGUUAGAGACAAUAAAACGGAAGAGUUUGGAGGCUCCAAGCAGCGCGCCUCGAAUAUCACCGCUAGCCCAUCAAGUCUGAUCAGAACAGAGGACUUCAAAUGCCAAGCCCUGGCUGCGGCUCUGAAGGGUGAGUCCUCAGAUAAAGUUCCGCACUUUAUGGUUCGAGACAUCAGAGAUAAUAAAGGGAAGUUACAAACUCCCAUACACCAAGUCAGAGAUGUGCGUAAGCUGGUUAAAAGUUCCUACCACUUUGUUUCCUUGGAUAAGAACGAAAAUAAAUCAAAUUCCUUUAGCUCUGAAAUUCAUUCAGAGCAAAAAAAACAGAUGCAAAAUAGUAAUCCUAACUGUGUGUCCCCCAUGGUGAUAAAAUGUCAGUCUGUAAAUACUAAUAAUGCAGAAAAACCUACCGGAAACCUUAAACAGGAGCAGUCUGACACAUGCAGAUCGUCUCCAGAGGGUGUUAAGAGUGCUCUACCCCAGAAGGCAUCAGGGAGAGCAGCAAAUACCUCAAACAACUCAGAGGGAAGCACUGGGAUGAGCAAUGAGGGCAAAACAGGUGCAACAAGGCAAGAAACAGUGUCAGAGACGGCAGAAAAUAAACCGGAGUCAAAAGUCACAAAUCAAGUGGCUUUGGAGAAACUCCAGGCCGCAGUGAAAACCAUGGAGCAACUUUAUGUGUUUGAUAAAAAUGAGUGGAGGAGAAAGAGUGAGCCUGAGCGUCUGACGGACAGCCAUGUGCUGUCACUGAUAGCCAGUGAAGAGCAGCAAGAGUCUGAGGAAGGAGGAGGGAGAGGGUUCAAUACAGACAAAGCAGUCAGAAGAGAUUCCUACCCAAAUAUAGACAAGACCCCCCUGGCAUUAUCAGCGCCCUCCAGCACUGACAGCUCCUUAAGGUGGCUAGAUAAAGACCUACUUAAAGUGCUUCAGUCAUCCAAUAGCCAUGAUGAAAGGUUGGUCACUAAGACAGUCCAAACAGUUGGCACCAUAGGGAGCAAGAACAUGUCCAGCUUUAGCUCCAAACCCAAGGCCUACAAAGCUGCUGAUGUUCCUCAAUCAAACACCACCCCACACACACCUUUCAGUGGCAAACGCUUUGCACCAAAGUCUCCUAAAUUGCCUGUGUCAUUCAAAACCACUCAGACAGGAGUUAGUGGGAAGAAAGAUGCUGAACCAAAGGGAGUGAACCGAUUUGAGCAUCAGUUUUCAGGUGCAUCGGUUGACAAUGAGAACUACCUAACCAUCCCGGUCAAAUUUCAGCCCAACAACAGUAAAAUGGCCGCAACUGCAGAUAAAACCUCAAUAAAGACUCUUCACCAUCAAUCACUGCCAACCCCUCCUACAGUACAUGAAGAUUGUGCCUCUAGAGUCCAGGAGGACUACGGUCAGAGGACAAAACGUUCCAGUAUUGUAAUGGAGACCCAUUCACCAGAGAUCCCCUCUGCUACUAUUUAUCACUCCCUACCAAUGGCUGUGUCUGCCAAUCAACCACAAAUGUAUUGUUUUUCCCCAGCAAUCACUCCAGCCCCCACCCUGGACCCCUUUCAGGCGACACAGAGGAAAAUGCUGCUGGAUCCCACCACUGGAAACUACUACCUGGUGGACACGCUGGUGUCCCCAGCCACAAAACGUCUUUUUGACCCAGAAACAGGCCAGUACGUGGAUGUACCCAUGCCACAGCCUCCGGUGACACCAGUACCAAUGCCUAUAUCGCCGCUAGCGCUCAGUCCUGGAGCAUGUGGUCAUACCUACAUGAUCUACCCUGGCUUUAUGACAACCCCUUCAGUGAUACCUCCUCGAACGCUGGUACAGUCACAGAUGUCCGUGCCAUCAGAGGUAGAGGGCGUAGAGAAGUCUUCCUCACAGCCGUCUGAAGGAAUGUACAUGGAGAGUCCUUUCUAUAUUGCAACUGGGAAGCCUCCCCAGGCAGCUUCAGAGGCUCAACAGCAUGGUGCCCCCAACAGGCCACAGCAUGGAUGUUCCAGCAUGAACCAGCCAGUCAUCAGCAUCACCUCCCAGCAAGGGCCAAGGAUCAUUGCCCCACCCUCGUUUGACGGGACCACCAUGAGUUUUGUGGUAGAGCACAGAUGAGUCGCUAAGCUGGACAGGGGCCCUUGAUGAUCCUGGUCCCAGUAUGAAGUCCAGACGGAGAGUUCUGUGGAGGUAGAUAGAAGAGGCUGUGGUGAAGGGCGGUCAGGACUGGAGCUUUCGUGAUCAUUGGCCACCAUUGCCAUUGGUUUAUCCUCUUCAUUGUUUUACACUGAUGUUAAGUCUGCUGAGCAAUUUAGUUGUUCAGGUAUUCUAUCUAACUGCUGCUGCUGAACCUUUUUUGACUUUCUACAAGAUUGUAGUUCAUGCUUUUUUUACACCACUGCUAAACCAAGAAUGAAUGCCUUUGAAGGGAUUCUUUACCCACUCCUGAAACUAAAUAGAGUAUGAUUUGGAAAAAAAAAAUUUCCAAAUCAAAAUAAAGAUUGAUUUAUCUAAUUUCUUUUAAUUUUAAAAAUAGAAGAAACUAUUUGUUUUGAAGAAACUACUUUAUACAGUUAUGAAUCCAAGUACCUGUUCCCUGUUAGAUUUUGCUGAAUUUACCAAAGAGUUUUUACAACUUUAGUUGUUAUGAUGACUUCUGUGUUGGUGCUUUAUGAUGCACACAAUGUGUUGAUUCAAAGCUCUUUAUGUGCAUAAUUUACAAUAUUGCACAUUUUUUAAAAGCUAAAGUUGGAAAAAAAAUUUAUGUGACAUGUCUUUUGUUUGUAUUGGUUUCUUUGAGAAUGUGGAGCUGCUGGACAGUCCUUGUUAAUACAUGUCAGGCAUCAUUGUUAUUCCAGAUUUUUCUUUUAUAAUGAAUGGUAUGAGUAACUGACAGUGAUGAAUGCAUUUAUUAUGAGAGCGCAAGCUGUCUUAUUGAAUUAUAUUUCAUUCUCAUUUUUAGAAAUUUCAUCUUGCCAUUUGUUUUCUUUGUGUCUUUUAAGGGAAGAUUUAUACUUUGUACAUAGUUUAUUUUUCCCAAAGUAUGCCUGAUAGUGGUAAAUUUUUUAAAGUCUUACACUUUCAGGGGUAAGUGGAAGUAGGGUUUGCAAGACAAGAAAAUGAAUACCCGAGACUUUGUGAGGGAUGUGUGGGUGAAGAGUGGAGGGACUUUGUAGAAGUAGGGUAAAAAGCUGGACAUGACGCAUUAUGUUUUCACUUUGUUCAACUGAUUUUUUUGUUUUGUUUUGUUUUUCUGCAUAAAAAAUGACUUCACAAAGUUAGGUCUUGACUUUGCAACUGUGAAGAUGGUAUAUGUUGAAAUACAUCAUUAAAACAGUACUUUUGAACUGUAAAUGUUUUUUACAUAUUCAAAAUGUUAAAUUGAGGUUGUUUCUGCUCUUAUGUUGUACUUUAUUAUGACACAAAAACAAACAUUUCUCCAGUUAUGUUUCUGCAGUCACUUGUUGACUGACACAUGAAAUCAGUGGUGGUUCUUUCAGAAAUAGUUCCCUGGCCAUAGCCCCUCCUAAUGCUAUCCUCAACCAAUUCAAACUAAAGCAAUUAGAUGAUUUUCCAGCAGAAAGCUUGUAACCUAUAGUUUCCAGUACUCAGUCAGAAGCAAGUAAAAUUACAUUCAUACGACUUGUUCAGGGCACAACUGAUAGAUAAGAUCUAUCUUAUUUUGUACUUUUUACAUGCCUGGCCCCCCUUUCUAAUGCCGCCCUGGCAUUACACUGCCUCUUUUACACUUUGGGCCCAUUAGUUUCAAGUGGGAAUCAUCUGUUAAUUUCAAGUGAGCAGGAUCCUGCUGGUCACCAUAUACUGUUACUAUGACCAUCAUGUAGCCAUUUUCUGAUGACAACAUCCAGCUGGAUAAUACAGCAUUUCACCAAAGCUCAAAAGAGCUCAAACUGGAUUCUAGAACACGUCAAUAACAGUGUUUCCAUCGAGGUUUUUUUUAUAUGCAUUUUAAAGUAUCGCAUUAGAGUUGAUGGAAAAGGAAAAUUUUCAAAAACAUCCUCAAUUUUGCAAAAGGUUUUCACGAUCGCUUGAAGUGGUUUUUGGCUUUUACAAAAAAUAGCUAAUAUCCUAAGGGGAGAUGAAAACAGAUUUGCUGAACAUCUGUCAUAGCAAACUUACCUGUACACUGAUAAGUCUGUGCCUUAAUUGAGGCACAAAACUUGGAAAAACUUCUACAUCUUGUUACAGCCAUGCGUAAUGCCACAUUCUGACUAAAUCACGCUCUGAAGAGCCUGGAGUCUUAUUUUGUACUUCUUAGAUGCCUGGCCCCCUUUCUAAAGGGCUUGCUCCAAACCAGUAAAUGAAAACAUGCCUAAUUCAUAUUUUCUUUUCUUUUCUUUUUUUGCUACAUUUUAAAAGUUUGCUCAAAAAUUGCAUGACCAUAGAAAACCAGGGUUUAUAAGUUCAGUGGACUCCAGUCACCAGAUCUCAAUGAAAAAGAGAAUGUGGUGGAACAGGAGGAUCUCAUUACAGAUUUUCAACUAAACAUUCUGCAGCAAUUGUAUCAUGCUGGUAUGUCAAUAAAGACCAAAUCUGCUUUGACACUGCAA
Molecule: RNA transcript, 7294 nt
Organism: Poecilia reticulata (guppy)
Lineage: Eukaryota; Metazoa; Chordata; Actinopteri; Cyprinodontiformes; Poeciliidae
Gene: c18h4orf54
Gene name: chromosome 18 C4orf54 homolog
Source: RefSeq, a predicted model, not a curated record